GCUGCCACCCCGGCUCCCGGGCUCCGCCUUUCCUGGCUCCCGUCAGGGAGCACAGCCCUGCCUGAGGGAGGGAGAGAGGACGGUGGUCCCCAGAACCGCCGGGUCCCUGGGCAGCUGCUGGGUUUGGGAGCUCCCUGCACGCCGGGACCUGGAAGGGGCAGCUCCCCGAGGAUGCAGAUGUGCCGGGCCUGAGGGCACUCCCGGGGUCACAGGGGAGCCCAGCUGCCGGCACACGCACCAGCCCACCGUGGUGGCCACCAGACACGCUAAUAGAAGCUUUUAUUUUCUUUUAUUCUUUUAUUCUUUUUUUUUUUUUUUUAAAUGUUUAUUUUUCAGUUCUGUUAUUGCAAAAUACCAGCUAUGACCAGCUCCUUCCUGUGGAGCCCAGCCUGCAGGAGUGCCCUGGUUUGUGCCAAGGAAAUGCUCCUGUCCCACAGUUACAGAACACCUGCCGGCUGGGGACCUGGGCUGAUGCUGGACAGGCAGCCCUUGUGCUGCAAACAGGAAAGAAUCAUUCUACACCGCACAGUGCAAGCACAAAGACAGAAAGCGAGGAGGACAGUGGCUAGCAAGGAGCAGUCACUCCCGAGGAGCAGCCCUUCCUGAGUGCAGCACGCUGCAGAUGUGUGCUUUGUCAGGGGCUGGUUGUAACUCAAAAAUGCUGUCUCUCUGUUAUGAUGUGCCAGCCCAAAUGUUGCUGCUGGAAUCAAGCACUGGAAGAGCCUGGCAAGAUAUAACCCCACCAAGGCGUCGGCCUUGUCGUGGGCCUCUUUGGUGAUUCCAAGUUUCAAUUCUGAUGGUUUGCUUGGCCACUUAUUUCUUGUCAGAUUAGCCCAAAGGUCUGAACAAAUUUAGGCUGAUUUCAAGUUGAGUGGUUGUUGCAGUGAAUAUUUUAUGGAAACUGUUGUUUAACAUUUCAGUGAAGUUUUAUCAACUUUGGCAAGACUUCCAAGCUCUUCAACUUUCACACACCUUUUAACCAUUUGAAAAGUUGUCUGCCUGGCAUUUGAAAUGCACAAAGUUACUGCCAGUUGUCAUCAGAAAAAAAUGCCUGAUAUGGGCAUAUUUGUGCUGAAGAGAGCAGGAUGACUUAUUAUGAACCUGUUUCAGUGCCUCUGAACGGUAUCCCUGCUCGUACGUGCACAUUAUUCCUCCCAGGCAAGACCAGCUGGAGGAUUCAUGGAAUGCUAGAUGCAUCAUGAAAAUUCUGCAUCGUCAGGGCAUUUAUUCUGAACAGUGUGCAGAUAUGUGUGUGGUUGGUUCACACUAUUGGGGCACCUCCGCUUUGCUUCCCUCGGCAGGCAGUUUAAACAUAGUUAGACACAUUGCAACUGAGCAGUGGUCUGGAAAUUAAAAAGUAACAUGGGAGUGCAGCCUUAAAACAAGGUCCCCUCCCUGUGCAGCAGCGAGUUAUGGACAUAGACUCAGGUGCAUUUCAGUGGUAUCUCAACUUUUUGCCUUGUUUUGCAUCUCAUGUAAUUGAAGAGCAGUCUUUGGGUUUGUUCUAGGAGGAAAUAAAUUUCUGUCAGCUCUAAUUAUCA
RNAcentral lists this long non-coding RNA (1541 nucleotides) under Parus major (Great Tit). RNAcentral describes it as "lncRNA (ENSPMJG00000018341.1)". The record is from RNAcentral. Lineage: Eukaryota; Metazoa; Chordata; Aves; Passeriformes; Paridae.